This is a long non-coding RNA of Zophobas morio, 365 nucleotides long. RefSeq lists it as uncharacterized. Lineage: Eukaryota; Metazoa; Arthropoda; Insecta; Coleoptera; Tenebrionidae. The record is from RefSeq and is a predicted model, not a curated record. The transcript is spliced from 3 exons.
UCUUCUUGCAAAAAACUAGUAUAUAAGGAAGAUCCACACAAUACAGUAUUAUAGGUUAGUAGAACCAGUGCUACUGAUCAGAUUCAUCAUGUUCAAAUUGCUCUUUUUCUUUGCCUUGCUGGCCAUCGCUUUGGCUCUUCCCAAACCUGCGCCAGUUCCAGAUCCCCAAUGGUACACAGUGGGGGCAGUACCUUAUGCAGCCUAUUACCCUACUUACGGAUGGGGUGCAGUGGUUUACUAGAAGACACAUUGGCUGGAUAUUUGGUCUACAUUUAUAAUUAGUGCGUUUGUUAUAUAAAAGUUAAGAGAAAAAUAUAUCAUCUCUGUAAUAUAAAAAUAAUAAAAAAAUAUAUAAGUAAAACAUA